This 657-nucleotide ribosomal RNA is filed under the name uncultured Lachnospiraceae bacterium. RNAcentral's name for it is "bacterial SSU rRNA". It matches the Rfam family "Bacterial small subunit ribosomal RNA", at positions 51 to 721 of the family's 1533-position model. The record is from RNAcentral. Lineage: Bacteria; Bacillati; Bacillota; Clostridia; Lachnospirales; Lachnospiraceae.
ACACAUGCAAGUCGAACGGAGAUUUGAGAGCUUGCUUUCAAAUCUUAGUGGCGGACGGGUGAGUAACGCGUGAGUAACCUGCCUCUCAGAGGGGGAUAACAUUCUGAAAAGAAUGCUAAUACCGCAUGACAUUCCUUUCUCGCAUGGGAAGGGAAUCAAAGGAGCAAUCCGCUGAGAGAUGGACUCGCGUCCGAUUAGCCAGUUGGCGGGGUAACGGCCCACCAAAGCGACGAUCGGUAGCCGGACUGAGAGGUUGAACGGCCACAUUGGGACUGAGACACGGCCCAGACUCCUACGGGAGGCAGCAGUGGGGGAUAUUGCACAAUGGGGGAAACCCUGAUGCAGCAACGCCGCGUGAAGGAAGAAGGUCUUCGGAUUGUAAACUUUUGUCCUCAGUGAAGAUAAUGACGGUAGCUGAGGAGGAAGCUCCGGCUAACUACGUGCCAGCAGCCGCGGUAAUACGUAGGGAGCGAGCGUUGUCCGGAUUUACUGGGUGUAAAGGGUGCGUAGGCGGACUGGCAAGUCAGUGGUGAAAACUAUGGGCUUAACCCAUAGACUGCCAUUGAAACUGUUGGUCUUGAGUGAAGUAGAGGUAGGCGGAAUUCCCGGUGUAGCGGUGAAAUGCGUAGAGAUCGGGAGGAGCACCAGUGGCGAAGG